This 492-nucleotide ribosomal RNA is filed under the name uncultured bacterium. Its description in RNAcentral is "partial 16S ribosomal RNA". It matches the Rfam family "Bacterial small subunit ribosomal RNA", at positions 29 to 507 of the family's 1533-position model. The record is from RNAcentral.
AGUGAACGCUGGCGGUAGGCCUAACACAUGCAAGUCGAACGGCAGCACAGUAAGAGCUUGCUCUUACGGGUGGCGAGUGGCGGACGGGUGCGGAAUACAUCGGAAUCUACUUUUUCGUGGGGGAUAACGUAGGGAAACUUACGCUAAUACCGCAUACGACCUACGGGUGAAAGCAGGGGAUCUUCGGAUCUUGCGCGAUUGAAUGAGCCGAUGUCGGAUUAGCUAGUUGGCGGGGUAAAGGCCCACCAAGGCGACGAUCCGUAGCUGGUCUGAGAGGAUGAUCAGCCACACUGGAACUGAGACACGGUCCAGACUCCUACGGGAGGCAGCAGUGGGGAAUAUUGGACAAUGGGCGCAAGCCUGAUCCAGCCAUACCGCGUGGGUGAAGAAGGCCUUCGGGUUGUAAAGCCCUUUUGUUGGGAAAGAAAAGCAGCAGGUUAAUACCCCGCUGUUCUGACGGUACCCAAAGAAUAAGCACCGGCUAACUUCGUG